CCUCGGGAGGCAGCAGUGGGGAAUAUUGGACAAUGGGGGCAACCCUGAUCCAGCGAUGCCGCGUGUGUGAAGAAGGCCUGAGGGUUGUAAAGCACUUUUAGUUAAGAAGAAAGAGUCCUUGUGAAUAAUGAGGAAAGAUGACGUUAUUAACAGAAAAAGCACCGGCUAACUCUGUGCCAGCAGCCGCGGUAAUACAGAGGGUGCGAGCGUUAAUCGGAAUUACUGGGCGUAAAGCGCGCGUAGGCGGCUAAACAAGUUGGGUGUGAAAGCCCUGGGCUCAACCUGGGAACGGCACUCAAAACUGUUUGGCUAGAGUACAGCAGAGGUAAGUGGAAUUUCCGGUGUAGCAGUGAAAUGCGUAGAGAUCGGAAGGAACGACAGUGGCGAAGGCGGCUUACUGGGCUGAUACUGACGCUGAGGCGCGAAGGCGUGGGGAGCAAACAGGAUUAGAUACCCUAGUAGUCC
Molecule: ribosomal RNA, 465 nt
Filed under: uncultured bacterium
Lineage: Bacteria
Description: bacterial SSU rRNA
Rfam family: Bacterial small subunit ribosomal RNA
Source: RNAcentral